RNAcentral lists this unclassified non-coding RNA (348 nucleotides) under soil metagenome. RNAcentral's name for it is "partial contains 5.8S ribosomal RNA, internal transcribed spacer 2, and large subunit ribosomal RNA". The stretch from base 1 to 120 matches the Rfam family "5.8S ribosomal RNA", at positions 35 to 154 of the family's 154-position model. The record is from RNAcentral.
GAUGAAGAACGCAGCAAAAUGCGAUAAGUAAUGUGAAUUGCAGAAUUCAGUGAAUCAUCGAAUCUUUGAACGCACAUUGCGCCCGCUGGUAUUCCGGCGGGCAUGCCUGUUCGAGCGUCAUUUCAACCCUCAAGCCCCCGGGUUUGGUGUUGGGGAUCGGCUCUGCCCUUCUGGGCGGUGCCGCCCCCGAAAUACAUUGGCGGUCUCGCUGCAGCCUCCAUUGCGUAGUAGCUAACACCUCGCAACUAGAACGCGGCGCGGCCAUGCCGUAAAACCCCAACUUCUGAAUGUUGACCUCGGAUCAGGUAGGAAUACCCGCUGAACUUAAGCAUAUCAAUAAGCGGAGGA